GAUGAACGCUGGCGGCGUGCCUAAUACAUGCAAGUCGAGCGAACGGACGAGAAGCUUGCUUCUCUGAUGUUAGCGGCGGACGGGUGAGUAACACGUGGAUAACCUACCUAUAAGACUGGGAUAACUUCGGGAAACCGGAGCUAAUACCGGAUGAUAUUUUGAACCGCAUGGUUCAAAAGUGAAAGACGGUCUUGCUGUCACUUAUAGAUGGAUCCGCGCUGCAUUAGCUAGUUGGUAAGGUAACGGCUUACCAAGGCAACGAUGCGUAGCCGACCUGAGAGGGUGAUCGGCCACACUGGAACUGAGACACGGUCCAGACUCCUACGGGAGGCAGCAGUAGGGAAUCUGCCGCAAUGGGCGAAAGCCUGACGGAGCAACGCCGCGUGAGUGAUGAAGGUCUUCGGAUCGUAAAACUCUGUUAUUAGGGAAGAACAAAUGUGUAAGUAACUGUGCACAUCUUGACGGUACCUAAUCAGAAAGCCACGGCUAACUACGUG
RNAcentral lists this ribosomal RNA (497 nucleotides) under uncultured bacterium. RNAcentral describes it as "partial 16S ribosomal RNA". It matches the Rfam family "Bacterial small subunit ribosomal RNA", at positions 28 to 507 of the family's 1533-position model. The record is from RNAcentral.